GGAUGUGAGAGCAAUCUGGCUGUGACCUCUGUCAUCCCAUUGAUUGCCAGGGUUGAUUCAGCUGAUUUGGCUGGCUGUGCUAGCUUCCCCUUCCUCCUUUAACACUCUAUGUGUCCCUCCCAAAGCCACACGUGGCUGAAGAGGAUGACCUUCCUCCAUAGAGGAGGAAGGGUAUAUGAGUAGCUGCACUCCCAGCUCUUGAGGUAAGCUGAGAACAUGACUAACUGAUGGCAAAACAUAAAAUAACAGCAGUAGAAAAAUAAAAUACAAGAAGCAAUUCAAGACUCAUAU
This 291-nucleotide small RNA is filed under the name Castor canadensis (American beaver). Its description in RNAcentral is "7SK RNA (ENSCCNG00000015711.1)". The stretch from base 1 to 229 matches the Rfam family "7SK RNA". Rfam says of the family: 7SK was discovered as an abundant small nuclear RNA in the mid-70s but a possible function has only recently been suggested. The record is from RNAcentral. Lineage: Eukaryota; Metazoa; Chordata; Mammalia; Rodentia; Castoridae.